AAAGGAUUAGUUAAAUUAUAACGUCAGCUUGUCAAGUUGAAGUAACCCUAAGGGUAUCCUUUU
This 63-nucleotide transfer RNA is filed under the name Matuta planipes. RNAcentral's name for it is "tRNA-Asp". The record is from RNAcentral. Lineage: Eukaryota; Metazoa; Arthropoda; Malacostraca; Decapoda; Matutidae.